AUUGAACGCUGGCGGCAGGCCUAACACAUGCAAGUCGAAUGGUAACAGGAAACAGCUUGCUGUUUCGCUGACGAGUGGCGGACGGGUGAGUAAUGUCUGGGAAACUGCCUGAUGGAGGGGGAUAACUACUGGAAACGGUAGCUAAUACCGCAUAACGUCGCAAGACCAAAGAGGGGGACCUUCGGGCCUCUUGCCAUCAGAUGUGCCCAGAUGGGAUUAGCUAGUAGGUGGGGUAACGGCUCACCUAGGCGACGAUCCCUAGCUGGUCUGAGAGGAUGACCAGCCACACUGGAACUGAGACACGGUCCAGACUCCUACGGGAGGCAGCAGUGGGGAAUAUUGCACAAUGGGCGCAAGCCUGAUGCAGCCAUGCCGCGUGUAUGAAGAAGGCCUUCAGGUUGUAAAGUACUUUCAGCGGGGAGGAAGGGAGUAAAGUUAAUACCUUUGCUCAUUGACGUUACCCGCAGAAGAAGCACCGGCUAACUCCGUG
Molecule: ribosomal RNA, 490 nt
Filed under: uncultured bacterium
Lineage: Bacteria
Description: partial 16S ribosomal RNA
Rfam family: Bacterial small subunit ribosomal RNA
Source: RNAcentral